This 275-nucleotide long non-coding RNA is filed under the name Elaeis guineensis (African oil palm). Its description in RNAcentral is "long non-coding RNA (EGUI_LNC002847)". Lineage: Eukaryota; Viridiplantae; Streptophyta; Magnoliopsida; Arecales; Arecaceae. The record is from RNAcentral.
AAGAGGAUGUGGAUUUUAUAUUUCACACACGUGCGCCGGCCCGGCCUAACUCGGCUUACAUGCACGAAAUGAAAUUUAAUUAUUUUACUUUUUUUACUAUAUUCUAUUUUAUCUUUUAUUUUAUUAUAUUUUAUUUUUUUAAUAUAUUUUUUUUGUUGAUCGGUCAUUUUCCUUCAUGGUCAAACGGUCAAAUGAUUGUUCAUCUCAGAUGGCCAUAUUUUUCUUUGACUGAUUACCUUCCUUCAGGUCCUCCAGUCAAAUGGCCAUCUACAGGC